CCUACGGGUGGCUGCAGUGGGGAAUAUUGCACAAUGGGCGAAAGCCUGAUGCAGCGACGCCGCGUGGAGGAAGAAGGUCUUCGGAUUGUAAACUCCUGUUGAGUGAGAAGAAAGACUUCUGGUUAAUACCCAGAGGGGAUGACGGUAUCACUCGAGGAAGCACCGGCAAACUUCGUGCCAGCAGCCGCGGUAAUACGAAGGGUGCAAGCGUUAUUCGGAGUUAUUGGGCGUAAAGGGCGCGUAGGCGGUCUGUUAAGUCAAGUGUUAAAGAACUC
This 275-nucleotide ribosomal RNA is filed under the name uncultured bacterium. RNAcentral describes it as "partial 16S ribosomal RNA". It matches the Rfam family "Bacterial small subunit ribosomal RNA", at positions 338 to 605 of the family's 1533-position model. The record is from RNAcentral.